ACUCCUACGGGAGGCAGCAGUAGGGAAUAUUGCACAAUCGACGAAAGUCCGAUGCAGCAACGCCGCGUGUGCGAUGAAGGCCUUCGGGUUGUAAAGCACUUUUAUGAGGGAAGAGAAAGGACGGUACCUCAGGAAUAAGUCUCGGCUAACUACGUGCCAGCAGCCGCGGUAAUACGUAGGAGGCAAGCGUUAUCCGGAUUCAUUGGGCGUAAAGCGCGUGCAGGUGGUUUGGUAAGUUGGGUAUGAAAUCUUCUGGCUUAACUAGGAGAGGUUGCUCAAAACUGUCAGACUAGGGGACGAUAGAGGAAGGUGGAAUUCCCGGUGUAGUAGUGAAAUGCGUAGAUAUCGGGAGGAACACCAGUGGCGAAGGCGGCCUUCUGGGUCGUUCCUGACACUAAGACGCGAAAGCAUGGGUAGCAAACGGGAUUAGAAACCCCGGUAGUCCAUGCCGUAAACGAUGUGAGCUUGAUGUCGGUGGCGUAAUAGUCAUCGGUGUCGUAGUUAACGCGGUAAGUUCACCGCCUGGGGAGUACGAUCGCAAGGUUAAAACUCAAAGGAAUUGACGGGGACCCGCACAAGCAGCGGAGCGUGUGGUUUAAUUCGAUGCUACACGAAGAACCUUACCUGGGCUUGACAUAUAAGUGGUAGGGAUCCGAAAGGUGACCGACCCCUCGGGGAGCUUAUACAGGUGCUGCAUGGCUGUCGUCAGCUCGUGCCGUGAGGUGUCCGGUUAAGUCCGGUAACGAGCGCAACCCUUGCCGUAUGUUACAUGUGUCAUGCGGGACUGCCGGUACAAAACCGGANGAAGGUGGGGACGACGUCAAGUCAGCAUNGNNCUUUAUGUCCAGGGCUACACACACGCUACANGGUCGGUACAAUGGGUAGCAAAGUCGCGANGC
Molecule: ribosomal RNA, 899 nt
Filed under: uncultured bacterium
Lineage: Bacteria
Description: bacterial SSU rRNA
Rfam family: Bacterial small subunit ribosomal RNA
Source: RNAcentral